This 28-nucleotide small RNA is filed under the name Bombyx mori (domestic silkworm). RNAcentral's name for it is "ovarian small RNA-7973". The record is from RNAcentral. Lineage: Eukaryota; Metazoa; Arthropoda; Insecta; Lepidoptera; Bombycidae.
UGAAGUUGUUGCCGGUGUCGCGGUGCUU